UGGUCAGCAGGGGUCUCAUAAGAAGA
This 26-nucleotide non-coding RNA is filed under the name Homo sapiens (human). Lineage: Eukaryota; Metazoa; Chordata; Mammalia; Primates; Hominidae. The record is from RNAcentral.